Long non-coding RNA from Sciurus carolinensis (gray squirrel), 3981 nucleotides. RefSeq lists it as uncharacterized. The record is from RefSeq and is a predicted model, not a curated record. The transcript has 3 exons. Lineage: Eukaryota; Metazoa; Chordata; Mammalia; Rodentia; Sciuridae.
UCCUGGUGGGGUUCGCGCGGGAGUUUCUACGAGGGUUGAAGGGGGCGGACUAGAGGCACCAGCCGCGCGAGAGGCUCACAGCUCGCGAGUCCGCUGCACCCAGGGCGCGCGGAGCUCCACGGCAUGUGGAGUCCCGGGUGCUUCCCGCGGAGCGCCCGGGGCGCAGGACAGGGUGGUGGAGUGGAGCCUGGAAAAAGGCGGGUUCAGGCUCGGAGUGGCGCAAAUGCGAGAGGAGCUGCAACGUGCCGGGGCAGACAUAGUAAAAGGAGCAGCACCCGUUUGGCUACUGAAAGUGGCGCGGGGGCUUCCAAGACAGACCUGGGGAGGUAGCGGGUGUGAGUCAGUUUGGGGAGCGCUGGAAAACCGGUGCCAGAGAGAAGCAAAGAAAGGGCGCAGGACUUGGAAGAAGUGAGAAGGAACUGUUGCCUCGGGGAGAGCGCGCGGUGCCAAGCACUGCACCAGGCCAAGGCGGGGAUCGCCCAGGGACCCUCUAAGCGUGGUGGAGGUGGUGCUCUGGUCGUAGCAGAGACUGAAAGGAGUAAAUGCAAGUCAGAGACCGUCAUAGCACCGAUGUGCCAGAGCCCUCGGGGAGGCAAUGAAAGGGACGUGGAGUCUGCGCGCUCAGACGACCUGACUUCUUAAAGAACAAGUGUCUUCUGUUCCUGUCUCUCAUUCUGCCUUGUAUCCCCAACGUGGUUCCUGCUACCGUGGCCUCAAAGUUUUGGCAUGAACCCUUGUCCCCUGUCUGUGGCGAUGCUCUGACAACUUUCCUUGGCUGGGACAAGGUGUUCUGGAGCUUCCGCCUGAGCAGACCCAGCUGCUCCAGGGACCAGCCUCUCAUGCAUAUCCUUGGGUCCAAGUGGAGAAAUAGCUCCCAGGACACAUUGAAAAACAACCCCAAGAGACAAAAACCACCCCACCGAAGCCCUUGAGAUCAAGUAGAAACAAAGGAACGGAGAGAAGGUUGAAGAAUAAAAGGGAUGGGGAGAAGGAGGAGGAGGAGGAGAAAACCAAAGACAGAGAGAGUCUCCGAGGCGGGCUGGAGAGAAAUCCGGCUGAGGCUCUGCCGAGAGCUGCCGUCAUUUGCCCAUUUCUGUGGUGUAAACGCUCCCACUGUGACUGACUGAUUUGAAGCCAGCGAAGUGAUGUCACUGAACUCAGGGAUGCUGGAAGGAGAUGCACCCCAUCAUCAGCUCCCACGGGUCCAUCUGGACUCUGGGCUUUCCAUGCGGAAGUCCUUUGUCUGAAGAUGCAGCCGGAUAUUGAAGAAAAACACCCCGAGUGGAAUAUUUGAAAAUGUAACCAAAACGCCGUUUAACACUAUGUCUCAUCUACCUUUCUGAUUUGGGGGGCAUGUUCUAUGAAACAUCUACAAUGACCCAGGUACUUUUCCCAUGGUAUUUAUUUCUCUCCAAAUCUGCUGAGGUCUGGAUUAUUAUCCAUUAUUGUUUUACAGAGGGGGAAACGGAGGCUCAGAGAGGUGAAGCGAGUUACCUGAGCUCACACAGCUGGGAGUCGUGAGGAUCUGUCUGAUUGCUCCCGGGUACUGUGUCCUCAUGACGAAACCGAUGUGGUGGUCACGAGAGGGGUUAACGUGCUACCUGUGUUUUUCCUGAAAACAGGAGUCCUGGCGAGCUGUCCUCACCUUUACAACUUCUCCCACACUAACCUCCACACUAGCCUCCGCCACCAAGCCGUGUGAUUGCUCUUUCCUAAAAUUGCACCCCACCUUGGCCUGCGCUCCCCGGGUUCCUGGGCCUGACGGGAGCAGGACGGAAUCGCCCCCCCACCUGUUUCCAGGAAGGCACUGCCUCUCACAGCCUGAAGGGGGCCUGUCCCCACCCACGCUCCCUUCGCCGCCUGCUCGGGCGGGCGGGCGGCCAUGCUGCCAGGUCUUCAGAAAACCAGGCCUAGCAGCGCUUUCUUCUCUGGAGAGGAGAAGAAUAAUUUCCUUCCACAAAUUGUUCUCUCAGCACCUGGGACUCCCUCUCCUGGACUCUAAAGACUGUGGCCCUUCUGAUUCUUCCCUCUUCCCCUUGACAUCACCUCGGGCCUCAUAGGUGACAACACUUGGUGGCUCAGGGCACAUGGGCCGUGUCCAGCAGUUAGCCUACAGGCUCCGCGUGCCACCUGCCUGGCACUGGGCCAUGGGCACUGCGCUGUCCUUCCGUGACCCUGGGGGUUGUGGAGGGCUGGGGAGAGGCCCCCUUCCGUGUUAUACACAGAGCCCCACAGGGAGAGUGGGAAUGGAGGGGGCGGGGGGAGUCCAUUGUUGAGAUGGGUCUGCGGGGUCACAGGUGCUACUGGGGAUGUGGGCCUGCGAGGCUCAGAGUCACUUCUGCAGGGGACAGGAGUCGGCGCAGACCUGGUCCUCACCUUCUCUCGCUUAACGCCUCUGAACCCCCUAACAAGGGCCUGUCAUGGGCUGCAUGCCGGCCGCCAUCUUUGUAUGUGGAGGGCCUAAGCCCAGUACCCCGGGCUGUGACUCUCUCUGGAGGCAGGGCCUUGGAAGAGGCCACUCAGUUUUUAAAAAGAAGCCCUGACGGUGGGUCGAAUAGGGUCUGACUGGCAUCCUUGGAGGAGGCACUUCCGACGCAGAGACUCCAGGACUGUGCACACAGCUCCAAGGUCGCGUGAGGACACAGGCAGCUGCCUGCCAGGCGUGGAGAGGCCUCAGCGGACACCAGCCCUGACGCACCCGGUCUUGGCCUUCCCGCCUCCAGAACUAUGGGAAACAAGCCUGCUUCGGUCAACCCCGCUCACCCUGGUGUUUUGCCAAUUAACGCACCACCGCCAGGAGGCCCCCUACGGCUCUCCAACCCCGAGCCUUGCUCUCUGCGGCUGGGCACAUUUCCGCCCAGUUGCUGAAGCUCAGCACACUCGAUUUGCACCGUCUGGGUCAAAAGUCUAGCUCUGCCAUUUGCUAGCUCUGUGUGACCCUGAUCUGAUUAUUGAACUGGCCCGAGCUCAGUUUUCUCCUCUAUAAAAUGGCGGUCCUGGUAGUACCUCCCUCUCAAGGGAGAAGGUAAAGCGAAGCACCUAAGCACUCUUCUCGGUUCUUGGUACGUAUUUCCCUUCUGCCACCUUUUCUGCCUUUCAGAGAAAAGCUCAGAUGUCACCUCCAUCAGGAAGCCCUCCUUGAUUGUUCCGGGUCUGGGUUAGGUUCUCUCCAAGGACUUGCUAAAGCAUCCCCCUCCCUUCAAUGUGUCCCUCUGUCCCUGUACUUUGGGUCCUUGUUCUGCUAUAACCCACGCCCAACUCAUGGACCUGGGAGCCACAGAGUCUUGCCCACCACGGGGCUCCCUGUGCUGGGCACGGUGUUGGCCUUAGAGUAUUUCUGGUUACUGAAUGGAAGAUGGUGGGAAUGGAUUGGUGGAGCCAAUAUUUUUCUGAGUCGAUGGCUUGGGACAGGAAGAUCCACUGAAAUAAUACAUCGUCCCGAGAGCCAAAUCAGAAUAACCGUACAUAUUUUUGCAAAGAGCAUUCACUUGGUGUCGGCUAUUGUUUCAGGUGCUUGACACACAGAAACCAAUUUCAUCCUCAUAAAUCCCUGUGAGGAAGGCAUCAUUAUCAUGCCCAUUUUGCAGAUAGGGAAACUGAGGCCCACAGACACAUGCAACUUAUCCAAGCCACACAAAAGCCAGCCCAAGGCCGAGCUGGAGUCGGAGUCCAGGCAUCUGGCUCCUGGUUUCGCUGCUCUCCACUACAGUGCUGACCUUGGUGGCUAGUGAUAGGGUAGAGAGGUCCCUUGUCAUCAGGAAAGGGCUGCAUCUGAUGGGUCUGAACCUUUUUCUCUUUAUAGAAAGGGCCUCAAGCUUGAUGAUCAUCCAUCUAAUCUGCAGUGAAUAAAAAAGGUCCCUAGAAAAAAGGUACACUCAUACAUUGCUGGUGGGGCUGCAAAUUAGUGCAGCCACUUUGGAAAGCAGUGUGGAGAUUCCUUAGAAAACUUGGAAUGGACCCACCAUUUGACCCAGCUAUCCC